UAUUUCUCAGAAAGCAAAGUUACCUUUUUAAAUCUGAAAACUUAAGAAAUUGAAAUAUUUUCAUGAUCUCUUGUAAUUCUGCUCUCUCCAGCGUGACGUUACGCAGUGCCGUUCCUCCCCGGCGAGGCAGCGCACAGUGCUGACGUACCCGAGCCCUCUGCGGUGGAGCCAGCUCACGACUUGCGAAGGGCCUUGAACUUCUGGUGGUGACUUUGACUUACGAGAGAAAGCGUUGAAAAGGAGAAAAGACUAUAUUUUAUGAGCGAUGGUUAAAAGAAAAGAAUAUGCAUUUCCUAAGGGGUGGACCAACCUUUUUAUAAAAGAAAAUACAGAGAACAUAAAAGGCUUGAUUUGAUGGUAUCAAUGACAUCAAAGCUCCUAGGUCAAUACAGCUGGAAUCCACUGCCAAGUCGAAGAUCCUCAGAACAGG
Molecule: long non-coding RNA, 430 nt
Filed under: Dromaius novaehollandiae (emu)
Lineage: Eukaryota; Metazoa; Chordata; Aves; Casuariiformes; Dromaiidae
Description: lncRNA (ENSDNVG00000001701.1)
Source: RNAcentral